GUACUCUUAAUUUAAUGGUUAAAAUAAUAGUUUACGGCACUGUUUAUAUAGGUUCGAUUCCUUUAGAGUACU
This is a transfer RNA of 72 nucleotides. It matches the Rfam family "tRNA". From Rfam's summary of the family: Transfer RNA (tRNA) molecules are approximately 80 nucleotides in length.